This 254-nucleotide ribosomal RNA is filed under the name uncultured bacterium. RNAcentral describes it as "partial 16S ribosomal RNA". It matches the Rfam family "Bacterial small subunit ribosomal RNA", at positions 524 to 776 of the family's 1533-position model. The record is from RNAcentral.
GACGGAGGAUGCAAGUGUUAUCCGGAAUCACUGGGCGUAAAGCGUCUGUAGGUGGUUUAAUAAGUCAACUGUUAAAUCUUGAGGCUCAACCUCAAAAUCGCAGUCGAAACUAUUAGGCUAGAGUAUAGUAGGGGUAAAGGGAAUUUCCAGUGGAGCGGUGAAAUGCGUAGAGAUGUGGAGGAAUACCGAUGGCGAAGGCAGCCUCCUGGGCCAACACUGACGCUCAUGGCACGAAAGCGUGGGGAGCAAACAGG